UCAAGCUAUUCGGGCGCAUGAUGGAUGCCUUGGCGACAGCGGGCGACGAAGGACGCGGCAAGCCGCGAUAGUCCACGGGUAGGCGCAGGCGGCCCUUGAUCCGUGGGUUUCCGAAUGGAGCAAUCCGGCGCCGUUGAUGCGGCGCCAUCCCGGCAUGAAUCCAUAGUGCCGGGAGGCCACACCCGGGGAAGUGAAACAUCUCAGUACCCGGAGGAGAAGAAAUCAAUCGAGAUUCCGUGAGUAGUGGCGAGCGAAAGCGGAAGAGCCCAAACCGCCGGGCGUGCCCGGCGGGGUUGCGGGACCUGGCCGCGGCGGGCAAGCCGUUAGCGCAAGCCGCUGGAAAGCGGCGCCGCGGAGGGUGAAAGCCCCGUGCGCGAAAACAGCUUGCCCCGCCUACAGGCAUCCCAAGUAGGGCGGGACACGUGAAACCCCGCCUGAAUCCGGGGGGCCCACCCCCCAAGGCUAAAUACCUGCUGUCGACCGAUAGUGCACAAGUACCGCGAGGGAAAGGUGAAAAGAACCCCUGCUAGGGGAGUGAAACAGACCCUGAAAUCAUGCGCCCCCAAACUGUGGGAGCCCCCUUGGGGGUGACCGCAUGCCUUUUGCAUAAUGAGCCUGCGAGUUGCCGCGCCGCGGCGAGGUUAAGCCCUUGGCGGAGCCGAAGCGAAAGCGAGUGCGAACAGCGCGAUUUCCAGUCGCGCGCGGCAGACCCGAAGCUGGGUGAUCUAUCCAUGGCCAGGCUGAACCCCCGGUGAUGCGGGGCGGAGGGCCGAACCAGUUGAUGUUGAAAAAUCUUUGGAUGAGCUGUGGAUAGGGGUGAAAGGCCAAUCAAACCCAGUGAUAGCUGGUUCUCUCCGAAAUAGCUUUAGGGCUAGCCCCGGGCCAUUGGCGCGCGGGGGUAGAGCUACCGGCUGACCGAGGGUCCCCACCGGGAUGCCGACGUCAUCCGAACUCCGAAUACCGCGCGCACCUACCCCGGGAGUCAGACGGCGGGGGAUAAGCUCCGUCGUCAAAAGGGAAACAGCCCAGACCGCCGACUAAGGCCCCCAAUCGCCCGCUGAGUGGAUUGUAAGGAGGUGGGGCCGCGCAGACAGCCAGGAUGUUGGCUCAGAGGCAGCCAUCAUUUAAAGACCGCGUAAUAGCCCACUGGCCGAGUGGCCCCGCGCCGAAAAUGAUCGGGACUGAAGCGGGCAGCCGACGUCGCGGAGACGCGAUUGUGAUCGCGAUCUGGUAGGAGAGCGCCGCAUGCCGGCUGAAGGCGCGCCGCGAGGCGCGCUGGACGGCAUGCGGGUGACCAUGCAGGCAUGAGUAGCGACAAGGCGGGUGCGAAUCCCGCCCACCGAAAAUCCAAGGUUUCCUGGGCCAGGUUCGUCCCCCCAGGGUCAGUCGGGUCCUAAGGCGAGGCCGAAAGGCGUAGUCGAUGGCCGCCAGGCGAACAUUCCUGGACCCGUGGGGUUAGGCCGCCGGAUGACGCGGCGAAGCUGAGGCGCCUCCGAAUGGUUGUGGAGGUCGGGCGCAGGCCCGGGUGCCCUUUCCGCAAGGUUUGGGCGAAGGUCUUGGCGGAGCCGCCGAGAAAAGUCCGUCGUCCGCUUGAAUCCCCCCGGCCCGUACCGCAAACCGACACAGGUGGAUGGGUCGAGAAGACUAAGGUGCGCGAGAGAAACCACGUUAAGGAACUCGGCAAAAUGGCCCCGUAACUUUGGGAGAAGGGGCGCUCCGGGCAUUAAGGGUCAAACUAAGGUGCCCGGAGCCGCAGUGAAUGGGCCCAGGCGACUGUUUAGCAAAAACACAGCACUAUGCCAACUCGCAAGAGGACGUAUAUGGUGUGACACGUGACCAAUGCCGAAAGGUCAAGCGGACGGGUCAGCCGCAAGGCGAAGCUCCGAAGUGAAGCCCCGGUGAAUGUCGGCCGUAACUAUAACGGUCCUAAGGUAGCGAAAUUCCUUGUCGGG
RNAcentral lists this ribosomal RNA (1952 nucleotides) under activated sludge metagenome. Its description in RNAcentral is "bacterial LSU rRNA". It matches the Rfam family "Bacterial large subunit ribosomal RNA", at positions 1 to 1976 of the family's 2925-position model. The record is from RNAcentral.